GAUGAACGCUGGCGGCGUGCUUAACACAUGCAAGUCGAACGGUGAAGCAGGAGCUUGCUCUUGUGGAUCAGUGGCGAACGGGUGAGUAACACGUGAGCAACCUGCCCCUGACUCUGGGAUAAGCGCUGGAAACGGCGUCUAAUACUGGAUAUGUGAUGUGACCGCAUGGUCUGCAUCUGGAAAGAAUUUCGGUUGGGGAUGGGCUCGCGGCCUAUCAGCUUGUUGGUGAGGUAAUGGCUCACCAAGGCGUCGACGGGUAGCCGGCCUGAGAAGGUGACCGGCCACACGGGUAGUGAGACACGGCCCAGACUCCUACGGGAGGCAGCAGUGGGAAAUAUUGCAAAAUGGGCGGAAGCCUGAUGCAACAACGCCGCGGGAGGGAUGACGGCUUUCGGGUUGUAAACCUCUUUUAGCAGGAAAGAAGCGAAAGUGACGGUACCUGAAGAAAAAGCACCGGCUAACUACGUGCCAGCCGCCGCGGUAA
Molecule: ribosomal RNA, 484 nt
Filed under: uncultured bacterium
Lineage: Bacteria
Description: partial 16S ribosomal RNA
Rfam family: Bacterial small subunit ribosomal RNA
Source: RNAcentral